Long non-coding RNA from Cannabis sativa, 1250 nucleotides. RefSeq lists it as uncharacterized. Lineage: Eukaryota; Viridiplantae; Streptophyta; Magnoliopsida; Rosales; Cannabaceae. The transcript is spliced from 4 exons. The record is from RefSeq and is a predicted model, not a curated record.
UAUUUUUAUCUGAGAAUUGUUGGUUGUUUGGCUUAUUUUCUCUGAAAAUUUGGAUGUUUCCUUACACUGUUUUGUCAGAUAUUUUUAUUUUAGAGAAACUGGUGAAAGAGCAAGCUUCCGUGAAGACAGAUCUAGACAUGGCGGUACCUCUCUUUGUUUCUCCCUGUGUCUGUCGGUGCUUUCGUUUAAUUUGUUCGAUCAAGCUCGCACACAAGAAUUUUUUACCAAUAUAUGAUCGUUAAGAACAUUAGAAGAAAAGUUAUAGAAUGCGUUUAAUGAAAAUGCUAAACUCAAGGUGAAACAGAAAGAGGAUGAGAAGCUGUGGAAUGGCUUAGAAUCUAAAUUUCUUACGAAAACACUACGAUCAACUCACUGAAACUUUAAAGCAAUUAGCCAGUCAAGUUCAUGAUGCUGAGAAAGAUAAGGAGUUAUUUGAAGGCAAACUGUCUGCAAAUGCAAAUGUUCUUGAUGAUUUGAAUCAGCAAAUGAAUUAAUUUGUUGCAAAAUCAUCCAAUAUAGGUUAUGAUACCACUGAUUUUGUAAAUUAUUGGACGAAUUUUUAAUUUUCUCUUAAUUAUUGCUACUAUAUAUUUGUGUUUGUUGGGGGAAUAACUUCCAUGGUUGUUUUUAUCUUGUUUCAUGAUUGGAUUAGAUGUAAUGAGAAUAUUUAUGAUCAACUUUCUUCUGCUAUAUAUCUUUGCCAAAGUAUCAUUUUUUUUCUUUUUAGUUUUUGCUUGCUUUAGAUGGAAACUAGGAAGGUGAAAGUUUCCUUUAAUUUUUGAUUACUUAUUUCUGUAUAACCCACUAAUUAAUAUUGUUUGUAUUAUAGAGGGAGUAAGAGAAGAAUCACAUCUUUUAGUUAUAAGAUUUGUUUUUGUAUUAGUCACAAUGGUGUUUUUUUGAUAUAGAUUCUUGGAUAAGAGUCAUUAGACAUAAUUUUUUGAGUAUUUCAUUUCAGAUUGAAGAAAGUAGACUACAUCAAUGAUGACUCUGUUGGCUUAAAAGAAACAGUGUGUUGAAGCAUAAUAUUGGAACUUGAAAAGCUUGUCCCUUCAAUCUAGCUGCACGAAAGAAAUGUCUCAGCAGCAAGAAAUGGUACCACUUGGGGAGGAACUUGCUACCUUGCACCUCUUACCAGAGCCAUCAUGGAAAAUGCUUAUGGGGAAAAAUAUUGGACUAUUGGUAUUUUAUCCACAAUUUACUUUAUUCAACUUUUUUUCAAUCUAAAACCCAUGUACCUGUAUGCUUUG